Molecule: transfer RNA, 370 nt
Filed under: uncultured Gammaproteobacteria bacterium
Lineage: Bacteria; Pseudomonadati; Pseudomonadota; Gammaproteobacteria
Description: partial 16S-23S ribosomal RNA intergenic spacer
Rfam family: tRNA (bases 167-240)
Source: RNAcentral
AAUUGAAGCUUAGAUUUUAUCUGAGCGCCCACUCAAAUCGUCAUGUAAAAACUGGAAAACUUAUAGUGAUUUUCUACGAAAAUCGAUCAGGCAGGUUCCCACAGUAUGUUUUUCUUUAGGCAGAGACAGCGAACAAGCAUAAAGAAAAAUAGACCAGGUAAAUAUUGGGUCUGUAGCUCAGUUGGUUAGAGCGCACCCCUGAUAAGGGUGAGGUCGGUGGUUCGAAUCCACCCAGACCCACCAGCAAUUGGGGCUGUAGGAGGCAAACAAGUCGAUCGGAAUGAGUUUUUUAGGUAAGAGUAUUGCUGAUUUAGCGAGAAAGCUAAUUGAGGAAUAUUUUUUUUCCAGCCCAGGUUCCUUUUAACAAAUC